GAUGAACGCUGGCGGCGUGCCUAAUACAUGCAAGUCGAGCGAACAGACGAGGAGCUUGCUCCUCUGACGUUAGCGGCGGACGGGUGAGUAACACGUGGAUAACCUACCUAUAAGACUGGGAUAACUUCGGGAAACCGGAGCUAAUACCGGAUAAUAUAUUGAACCGCAUGGUUCAAUAGUGAAAGACGGUUUUGCUGUCACUUAUAGAUGGAUCCGCGCCGCAUUAGCUAGUUGGUAAGGUAACGGCUUACCAAGGCAACGAUGCGUAGCCGACCUGAGAGGGGGAUCGGCCACACGGGAACUGAAACACGGUCCAGACCCCUACGGGAGGCAGCGGUAGGGAAUCUUCCGCAAUGGGCGAAAGCCUGACGGAGCAACGCCGGGGGGGUGAUGAAGGUCUGCGGAUCGUAAAACUCUGUUAUUGGGGAAGAAAAAAGGUGUAAGUAACUAUGCACGUCUUGACGGUACCUAAGCAAAAAGCCACGGCUAACUACGG
RNAcentral lists this ribosomal RNA (496 nucleotides) under uncultured bacterium. RNAcentral's name for it is "partial 16S ribosomal RNA". It matches the Rfam family "Bacterial small subunit ribosomal RNA", at positions 28 to 506 of the family's 1533-position model. The record is from RNAcentral.